AAACAUAGCCUUUAGCAAACCUAGUAUUAAAGGUAACACCUGCCCAGUGAAAUUUAAAACGGCCGCGGUAUCCUAAACCGUGCAAAGGUAGCGUAAUCACUUGUCUUAUAAAUAAAGACCCGUAUGAAUGGCUAAAUGAGCAUUUAACUGUCUCCUCUAACUAAUCAGUGAAACUGAUCUUUCAGUACAAAAGCUGAAAUAAUCUCAUAAGACGAGAAGACCCUGUGGAGCUUUAAACUAACACCAAAACAUUAUAACAAAAUAUGUUCCUGCUAUACAGUUUUAAGUUGGGGCGACUUUGGAGUAAAAUAAAACCUCCAAGAAUAAGGCAUUGCCUAAAUAAAGACCAACAAGCCGAAAUUACCUAGACCCAGUACCACUGACCAACGAACCAAGUUACCCCAGGGAUAACAGCGCCAUCUUCUUCAAGAGUUCAUAUCGACAAGAAGGCUUACGACCUCGAUGUUGGAUCAGGACACCCAAAUGGUGCAACCGCUAUAA
This 501-nucleotide ribosomal RNA is filed under the name Anolis liogaster (Guerreran anole). RNAcentral describes it as "partial 16S ribosomal RNA". It matches the Rfam family "Bacterial large subunit ribosomal RNA", at positions 1811 to 2567 of the family's 2925-position model. The record is from RNAcentral. Lineage: Eukaryota; Metazoa; Chordata; Lepidosauria; Squamata; Anolidae.